ACCCAUGGUCUAUCUUUGGUCUCUCCGUGUUUUGCAUGAGGGUCAAGGGAAAGGAUAUGUAUGUUCAACGUGCCACAUACUCCCCUCCAACCAAUGGUUCAUUCCAGUAGAAAGCAUGCAAGGUAUCUAAGGAGACACUGGGCAGCCCCCGGGAUGCUGUCUAUCCCCACCUUCCUUGCCUAAGCCUUCAUGAUUCUCUGCAAGGAAAACAGGUCUUUAAUAUUUGGAUUUACCAAGCUGAGUUUCCUGAGGUUCUCAUUAAAUCCUACUUCUUAUCCCCCUCCGGAUUCUUUUCCCUCUGUCGUUAUCUCUCCUUUGCCUGUAUUUCUUCUGGAGCCCUCACUCUAUGCCCCAGAGCCCUGCCUGAGAGGCAAAUCCUUAGCCUCGAUGAGUAGGCAGCAAGCCCCUCUUGCACACAACAAAGAGUCUAUUUUUUCCCCCUGCUCUAUCUUUUGGACGACACGAUAAAAAAUAACCCUGUAUUUAUGCAAAUUGCAAAGUAGCGUGUGAUAAUGAAAACAAAACAGCGCUGGCCCGCAGCCAAGACAUGGCGUUGACGGGGGCUCCCGACCAUGUGGCUCCCGAUUCUUCAGGGAAAGCAGCUGUAGAGAAAUGAGACGACACACGGCACCCUCCUCACGCGCGCACACCCACAUCGGCACGCAUUCCGGUACCCGUCACCUUGGAGCUGGCCAAACUUGGGGAUCCAAAAGCUCUGCAGCGUCGUCCCCCACGAACCUCCCUGCCCCCUGCUCCUGAUUCCCUUUCAGGAAUUUACAAACAUUUUUCCCUAGAUCAAUAUCCGUAUUGAUUAUUCAUUGUGAGCGAGUCGUGUGUCUUUGGUGAUCCAGCUUGCAGAGGGUAGCAGCUAAAGACUGCUGCAGGGGGAAAAAAUAACAGAAGGUGAGAAGGACCCAGCUCUGACUGGGGUCUGCGGCUGUCACAUCACAGAGAGGGAGAAGAAGAAGAGAAUGCUCCAGAAUGAAAGGAUGGAGAAGGGUGGAAGAGAAAGAGGGAGCGACAGCAAGAAAGAAAGAUGCAAGGACUGCAUCUGGUCUUAGGGAUCUCAAUGGCUUGGAGGAAAGCCCCAUCAUCUUGGGUCUGCUGCUAGGUGCAAAAUGCCGUGCGUUCCUCUGCUCUGGGAGUGAACAGUGACUCACGGUUUUGGUGUCUUCCUACGUAAGAGCUUUUGGUGGGGGGAUUCCUUGGCUUGCUGACAGACAAGGAAGGACGCAGCAGCAGUGAGGUAAAAGAAGAGGAAGAAAAAAAAAAAGCAACCCAGUCCUUUCCAACCGAUUCGCCGAGGAUGUGCACCGGUUCGGUUUGAUUUGAACAGCUUGCUGCUCUAAAUGGCAUGCAGGAGGAUAAUUAAAAAGGCCAGCAUCACUUACUAAGGAUUACUGGAAAAGACGGUGAGAGGAUGACAGGAAGACAUCUUGGAUCAGAGCCAAAAAAAUAAUAAUCAAGGCAAAUCAAGUCUGCAGUUCGGAGAAAACACCCAUGGCUUGGGAAGCUCCGAAGGGAACCUGGGAACUGCUGGAGUUCUUCAGCCGAGGCUGGGAAUAUUGUUGUGGGCACAAGAGGACAAGAUUGGGGAAAGUCAUGGCAUGCCAGCUUACACAGCUAAGCCGCACACUGAGGAAAAAGAAAAGCCACACCAGAUCCACACCAGACCCAAACAGUGAGAGCCAACAUAUCCUUUGCUUUGGAGUCUUUCUGCUGGCUCCAAGUCAUUCCGUCUAUUUAGAGCAAUUCCACAACAUGCCUCCUGCCAGUAGCUGCUAUUCUCCUUGCCUGUCUUCAGAAGUUGCCUCACUGUUGAACGGGAGAGUGGAAAGAGGGGAGACUCAGUUUUCCAUUGGCUGGGAUUCUGGCAAAUGGGCCAGGUGAUUGUGUUUGCCAUUUGGACAGACAUACGGGAGCUGGUUGGGGAUUCCUCUUUGUUGUCACCCAGCUGUGGCUUGGUGAGUCCCAAACCAACCGUGAACUCUUUUUAUACACUGUUCCAAACGCAUAUGGACAAGAUGGGGACCCCAAGGAAUAAAAACAGUUGGAUUUUCUUUU
This is a long non-coding RNA of Rattus norvegicus (Norway rat), 2064 nucleotides long. RefSeq lists it as uncharacterized. NCBI's taxonomy places the organism in Eukaryota, Metazoa, Chordata, Mammalia, Rodentia, Muridae. The record is from RefSeq and is a predicted model, not a curated record.